This 465-nucleotide ribosomal RNA is filed under the name uncultured bacterium. RNAcentral describes it as "partial 16S ribosomal RNA". It matches the Rfam family "Bacterial small subunit ribosomal RNA", at positions 338 to 795 of the family's 1533-position model. The record is from RNAcentral.
CCUACGGGAGGCAGCAGUAGGGAAUCUUCCACAAUGAGCGAAAGCCUGAUGGAGCAACGCCGCGUGGGUGAAGAAGGUCUUCGGAUCGUAAAACCCUGUUGUUAGAGAAGAAAAUGCGUGAGAGUAACUGUUCACGUUUCGACGGUAUCUUACCAGAAAGCGACGGCUAACUACGUGCCAGCAGCCGCGGUAAUACAUAGGUGGCAAGCGUUAUCCGGAUUUAUUGGGCGUAAAGGGGUCGCAGGCGGUCUUUUAAGUCUGAUGUUAAAUCCUUCGGCUUAACCGGAGUCGUGCUUUGGAAACUGGGAGACUUGAGUGAAGAAGAGGAGAGUGGAACUCCAUGUGUAGCGGUGAAAUGCGUAGAUAUAUGGAAGAACACCAGUGGCGAAAGCGGCUCUCUGGUCUGUAACUGACGCUGAGGUUCGAAAGCGUGGGUAGCAAACAGGAUUAGAUACCCUUGUAGUC